Molecule: ribosomal RNA, 274 nt
Filed under: uncultured bacterium
Lineage: Bacteria
Description: partial 16S ribosomal RNA
Rfam family: Bacterial small subunit ribosomal RNA
Source: RNAcentral
AUACAGAGGGUGCGAGCGUUAAUCGGAAUUACUGGGCGUAAAGCGCGCGUAGGCGGCUUAUUAAGUCAGAUGUGAAAUCCCCGGGCUCAACCUGGGAACUGCAUCUGAUACUGGUAAGCUAGAGUUUUGGAGAGGGAAGUAGAAUUUCAGGUGUAGCGGUGAAAUGCAUAGAGAUCUGAAGGAAUACCAGUGGCGAAGGCGACUUCCUGGCCAAAGACUGACGCUGAGGUGCGAAAGCGUGGGUAGCAAACGGGAUUAGAAACCCCUGUAGUCC